Molecule: small nuclear RNA, 63 nt
Filed under: Tupaia belangeri chinensis (Chinese tree shrew)
Lineage: Eukaryota; Metazoa; Chordata; Mammalia; Scandentia; Tupaiidae
Description: Tupaia chinensis (Chinese tree shrew) U7 small nuclear RNA
Rfam family: U7 small nuclear RNA
About the family: Animal histone pre-mRNAs are spliced by a different mechanism than nuclear pre-mRNAs and self-splicing introns. This processing involves the U7 snRNP, which contains only one RNA species: U7. The 5' end of U7 RNA is thought to base-pair to a conserved spacer element downstream of the cleavage site in histone pre-mRNA.
Source: Rfam by way of RNAcentral
CAGUGUUACAGUUCUUUUAGAAUUUGUCCAGCAGAUUUUCAGGUUUUUUAACAGAAAGCCCCU